This 460-nucleotide ribosomal RNA is filed under the name uncultured bacterium. Its description in RNAcentral is "partial 16S ribosomal RNA". It matches the Rfam family "Bacterial small subunit ribosomal RNA", at positions 338 to 795 of the family's 1533-position model. The record is from RNAcentral.
CCUACGGGAGGCAGCAGUGAGGAAUAUUGGUCAAUGGGCGAGAGCCUGAACCAGCCAAGUCGCGUGAGGGAAGACGGUCCUAUGGAUUGUAAACCUCUUUAGGCGGGGAGCAAUGCCGGGCACGCGUGCCCGGAGGAAGAGUACCCGCAGAAUAAGCAUCGGCUAACUCCGUUCCAGCAGCCGCGGUAAUACGGAGGAUGCGAGCGUUAUCCGGAUUUUUUGGGUUUAAAGGGUGCGUAGGCGGAUUUUUAAGUCAGCGGUAAACUGUCAGGGCUCAACCCGGGCCGGCCGUUGAAACUGGCGAUCUUGAGUGGGCGAGAAGUAUGCGGAAUGCGCGGUGUAGCGGUGAAAUGCAUAGAUAUCACGCAGAACUCCGAUUGCGAAGGCAGCAUACCGGCGCCCGACUGACGCUGAGGCACGAAAGCGUGGGGAUCGAACAGGAUUAGAUACCCCAGUAGUC